Molecule: non-coding RNA, 200 nt
Filed under: Streptomyces hygroscopicus
Lineage: Bacteria; Bacillati; Actinomycetota; Actinomycetes; Kitasatosporales; Streptomycetaceae
Source: RNAcentral
CUAGAGUUGCCGCGCCGUGGUGUUCGGGAAGCCGGUGUGAAGCCGGAGCGGCCCUCGCCACUGUGAUCGGGGAGUUCUCGUCCCGUUCCGCGGCCGCAGGACCGGGCCGCGGAGCCACUGGCCGCCUCGCGCGGCCGGGAAGGCAGGGGCGGUCGCGUCGACCCGUCAGCCAGGAGACCGGCCGCGGCAUCUCACGAAGU